UAGCGGCAGGCCUAACACAUGCAAGUCGAGGGAGAGGUUACCUUCGGGUAACCAAAACCGGCGCACGGGUGCGUAACGCGUAUACAAUCUGCCUUUCACAUAGGGAUAGCCCGAAGAAAUUUGGAUUAAUACCUAAUGGUAUAUAAGAGCGGCAUCGUUUUUAUAUUAAAGCUACGGUGGUGAAAGAUGAGUAUGCGUUCUAUUAGCUAGUUGGAGAGGUAACGGCUCCCCAAGGCGACGAUAGAUAGGGGUUCUGAGAGGGAUGUCCCCCACACUGGUACUGAGAUACGGACCAGACUCCUACGGGAGGCAGCAGUGAGGAAUAUUGGACAAUGGUCGGAAGACUGAUCCAGCCAUGCCGCGUGCAGGAUGAAGGUCCUAUGGAUUGUAAACUGCUUUUGUAAGGGAAGAAUAAGGGGUACGUGUACUUUGAUGACGGUACCUUACGAAUAAGCAUCGGCUAACUCCGUGCCAGCAGCCGCGGUAAUACGGAGGAUGCGAGCGUUAUCCGGAAUCAUUGGGUUUAAAGGGUCCGUAGGCG
RNAcentral lists this ribosomal RNA (541 nucleotides) under Capnocytophaga sputigena. RNAcentral's name for it is "bacterial SSU rRNA". It matches the Rfam family "Bacterial small subunit ribosomal RNA", at positions 37 to 577 of the family's 1533-position model. The record is from RNAcentral. Lineage: Bacteria; Pseudomonadati; Bacteroidota; Flavobacteriia; Flavobacteriales; Flavobacteriaceae.